CUGCGGUGGUUAGUGUUUCGCUAUUUGGGAGGUCCUUGUAGUCAAUGAUCUCACCUUGAUGGUAUAGGUGGAGUAGUCUGGAUAUGUCUCUUUGGUCAAAUGCUUGGAAGUGUUUUGCUACCAGUCCAGGGGGGAAGAGUUUAUUUCGGUAGAUAGGCGUCACCGGAGAUAUGAAGGAGGAUAGUUCGUAUUUGGGAUUGAGUUUGUCCCAUAGAGCCAGCGUGUGGGUGAUUGCCGGUGAGGUGGUUGGAGGGAGGGGCCGAUGUGCCGGAGGCACCCACAUGUAGGACGAUGGCUGGUCCCAUCCCAUGAUGUCGUGUUCCAGGUCUACCCAUCGUUUGGCACUCGGGGGGGCGUGCCAUUGUUGUAUGUGGGCCAGUUGGGCUGCGUUGUAGUAUUGCUGGAAGUUGGGUAGUCCCAGGCCUCCGCUGGUCUUGGGGACGUACAUAGUUGCCCUGCGGAUGCGUGGUUUUUUACCCUUCCAUAUGAAUUUGUCAAUGGCGGCCUGGAGAUCACAGAAAUCUUUUUUCCGUAUGGGGAUGGGUAACGUUUGAAAAAGAUAUAGGAAGCGUGGCAGCAAGUUCAUCUUGACGGUUGUAACUCUACCCAGCCACGAGAUCCCUAACUUGUCCCAGCGCUGGAGGUCCUGGUGAGCUGUUGUCAGCAAUGGUUUGUAGUUGAGGUCGUACGUGUCAUCCAAUUUUUGGGGCAAUCUGGUGCCCAAGUAGGUGAGGUGUGUCGUGGUGACUUUGAAUGGAAACGAGUGCCGCAAGAGGUGGAGUUGUUGUGCGUUCAUUGCCACGGGCAUGAGGAUGGACUUUGUCAGAUUGAGUUUGUACCCUGAGAAGUUGGAGUACUCGGAUAUCACCUCCAAAGUGGCGUGUAAGGAUGGGAGCGGGUCCGCUAAGGUUAGGAGGACGUCGUCCGCAUACUCUUCCCGUCUGAUGCGGAUGCCUCUGAUCUCUGGGUGAUUGCGUAUGGCCUGCAGGAGUGGUUCUAGCGAGAUUGCAAAUAUUAGGGGGGACAGGGGGCAGCCCUGUCUAGUUCCAUUCGUGAUGGUAAAGGUUUGGGCUUCGAUGUUGGGUAGGAGCAGUCUGCCCGUAGGACGGUUGUAAAUUGCCGCCAAAGCAUUCAGAAAUCCAGUCGGGAAUUCCAGGUGGGAUAGGAUGUGGAACAUGUAUGGCCAGAGAAGGCGGUCGAAUGCCUUCUCGGCAUCCAGCGAAAGCAUUACUGCCGG
Non-coding RNA from Pelobates cultripes (western spadefoot toad), 1237 nucleotides. The record is from the annotation of a GenBank genome assembly. Lineage: Eukaryota; Metazoa; Chordata; Amphibia; Anura; Pelobatidae.